This 909-nucleotide small RNA is filed under the name Vigna angularis var. angularis. RNAcentral describes it as "Non-protein coding transcript". Lineage: Eukaryota; Viridiplantae; Streptophyta; Magnoliopsida; Fabales; Fabaceae. The record is from RNAcentral.
GGAUAAUGUAUAGCAACGGAUAAAGCAUAAAAGGAAAGAGGUUUCUGGAAACUGAACUUGACUCGGUCGUCAACACAAGGCAAGUUACUAUUUUCUGAUGUAUCGAUUGGGAUUAUUUAGAACAAAUAGAUAUGGAUAAUGUACAAUAGUAUAAUAACAACGUAGUACUGUUCUUGAAUAAACUCAAGAAAAAAAAAAUUCCUAAAAUGUUGAAUCCUCGAAGAACACGAGAUGAAAAAUACACUAAUUUGAGUUCACGGUUUGUGCUCUGACUCUGGUGCUCCACGAUCCACGAUUUCGUUGCAUACGCUUGUGAGAUCUUCUCUUCAACUCGGCGAGUUGUUCCACCCAUCUCAUUCUCCAACUCUCGUCACCAAUGCCCAUUCUGCUUCUCAAACCCAGUUCGUAGUCAUACUCUGCUCGAAGCCUUGGAUUGGACAAGGUGGUGUAAGCCGCGUUCAGUUGCACAAACAUCCUCGUCAACUCCUCUUUCCUGGAACUAUCAUGGCACACAUCGGGGUGGUACUGACGAGCCAUUGAUCUGUGCGCUUUCUUUAUGUCGUCGGUGGUGGCGCUGUUGGGACUCAAACUUAGAAUCUUGUACAGGUUGUCUUCCACACCUCGAAGCUGCUGCUUCGUGGCUCUGCAUGAAACCGAGAAGCGCGUGGGAGGAGGAGGUGGUGCGUGGUGUAUCUUUGGGAGUGAAAGCGUUUGAAAGGGUUUGGAAAUGAUAAUGUGCCGACCUAAUGAUGGGCAGUUAGAAAGUGAGUGAAAAUUCGUGUCAUCCACUUCAUGACGAGGAUGAGAUGGAUGAGGCUUUGCUUUGUCCUCUUUUCAAGCAACUCAAUGGCAUGUAAGAUAACGCAUAAAGCAAAUACGAGGCACAAGAGAUGAAUUCCUUCAUCAAAC